GCGUGGGUGAAGAAGGCCUUCGGGUUGUAAAGCCCUUUCGACGGGGACGAUGAUGACGGUACCCGUAGAAGAAGCCCCGGCUAACUUCGUGCCAGCAGCCGCGGUAAUACGAAGGGGGCUAGCGUUGUUCGGAAUUACUGGGCGUAAAGGGCGCGUAGGCGGACGUGUCAGUCAGGGGUGAAAUCCCGGGGCUCAACCUCGGAAUUGCCUUUGAUACUGCAUGUCUUGAGGACGGGAGAGGGUCGUGGAAUUCCCAGUGUAGAGGUGAAAUUCGU
RNAcentral lists this ribosomal RNA (275 nucleotides) under uncultured bacterium. Its description in RNAcentral is "partial 16S ribosomal RNA". It matches the Rfam family "Bacterial small subunit ribosomal RNA", at positions 399 to 691 of the family's 1533-position model. The record is from RNAcentral.